Pelobates cultripes (western spadefoot toad) is the source of this 247-nucleotide non-coding RNA. The record is from the annotation of a GenBank genome assembly. Lineage: Eukaryota; Metazoa; Chordata; Amphibia; Anura; Pelobatidae.
UUUUUUUCAAUCGUAACUGGAAAAGAGGAAAUCUAACAAAAUUAGUCCACAGCGCCCAUUUCUCAUUCUCACACUUCUCAGUGGACCACAAUAACUUCAGAAGAUACGUGUCUUUAAUGUCUCCUCUAGGAAUCUUAGUGCUUGUUUUACACUGUGUUUCUGGUCCAAGUUUGAAGUGAUAUUAGAUGUUUUUUUAGGACAAGGAUGACAGCUACAAGAAGAGCAAACUCUAGAUUAUUGAGUGAAG